RNAcentral lists this ribosomal RNA (122 nucleotides) under Romboutsia faecis. RNAcentral describes it as "partial 23S ribosomal RNA". It matches the Rfam family "Bacterial large subunit ribosomal RNA", at positions 2803 to 2925 of the family's 2925-position model. The record is from RNAcentral. Lineage: Bacteria; Bacillati; Bacillota; Clostridia; Peptostreptococcales; Peptostreptococcaceae.
GAUAAGAUUUCCCACCGUAAGGGUAAGACCCCAGGAAGACUACCUGGUUGAUAGGUCGGAGGUGGAAGUGCAGUAAUGUAUGUAGCUUACCGAUACUAAUAGGUCGAGGACUUGACCAAAUU